This 102-nucleotide ribosomal RNA is filed under the name Leishmania guyanensis. RNAcentral's name for it is "5.8S ribosomal RNA". The record is from RNAcentral. Lineage: Eukaryota; Euglenozoa; Kinetoplastea; Trypanosomatida; Trypanosomatidae.
AUCUCUUCGACGAGGACCUCUUUGACGAUGAGCUGAGUGCCGAGGCCGGCAACGCCACGCGCAGUUUUCACAUUUGGGUAAACUAUGAAUGGGCCAGUGCGU